UACAGAGGUCUCGAGCGUUGUUCGGAUUCAUUGGGCGUAAAGGGUGCGUAGGUGGCGCUGUAAGUCGGGUGUGAAAUCCUGGGGCUUAACCCCGGAACUGCAUUCGAUACUGCAGUGCUUGAGGACUGGAGAGGAGACUGGAAUUCAUGGUGUAGCAGUGAAAUGCGUAGAGAUCAUGAGGAAGACCAGUGGCGAAGGCGGGUCUCUGGACAGUUCCUGACACUGAGGCACGAAGGCCAGGGGAGCAAACAGG
RNAcentral lists this ribosomal RNA (253 nucleotides) under uncultured bacterium. RNAcentral describes it as "partial 16S ribosomal RNA". It matches the Rfam family "Bacterial small subunit ribosomal RNA", at positions 524 to 776 of the family's 1533-position model. The record is from RNAcentral.